RNAcentral lists this ribosomal RNA (792 nucleotides) under uncultured bacterium. RNAcentral's name for it is "bacterial SSU rRNA". It matches the Rfam family "Bacterial small subunit ribosomal RNA", at positions 78 to 906 of the family's 1533-position model. The record is from RNAcentral.
ACGGAUCCUUCGGGAUAGUGGCGGACGGGUGAGUAACANNNGGGAACGUGCCCUUUGGUUCGGAACAACUCAGGGAAACUUGAGCUAAUACCGGAUGUGCCCUUCGGGGGAAAGAUUUAUCGCCAUUGGAGCGGCCCGCGUCUGAUUAGCUAGUUGGUGAGGUAAAGGCUCACCAAGGCGACGAUCAGUAGCUGGUCUGAGAGGAUGAUCAGCCACAUUGGGACUGAGACACGGCCCAAACUCCUACGGGAGGCAGCAGUGGGGAAUCUUGCGCAAUGGGCGAAAGCCUGACGCAGCCAUGCCGCGUGAAUGAUGAAGGUCUUAGGAUUGUAAAAUUCUUUCACCGGGGACGAUAACGACGGUACCCGGAGAAGAAGCCCCGGCUAACUUCGUGCCAGCAGCCGCGGUAAUACGAAGGGGGCUAGCGUUGCUCGGAAUUACUGGGCGUAAAGGGAGCGUAGGCGGACUGUUAAGUUAGAGGUGAAAGCCCAGGGCUCAACCUUGGAAUUGCCUUUGAUACUGGCAGUCUUGAGUACGGAAGAGGUAUGUGGAACUCCGAGUGUAGAGGUGAAAUUCGUAGAUAUUCGGAAGAACACCAGUGGCGAAGGCGACAUACUGGUCCGUUACUGNNNNUGAGGCUCGAAAGCGUGGGGAGCAAANNNGAUUAGAUACCCUGGUAGUCCACGCCGUANACGAUGAGUGCUAGUUGUCGGCNNNCAUGCAUGUCGGUGACGCAGCUAACGCAUUAAGCACUCCGCCUGGGGAGUACGGUCGCAAGAUUAAAACUCAAAG